GGAGAUUUGGGUAUAAUUCCCAAAAGGAGCAACACCUUUUUCUUUUGUUCCCACCUUUUAGUUGGGCAUUUUAGGGAGACUCCCGGGGAUAACCGGGGGGAAGGUGGGGGAUGAGUUAAUUUUUUUUGGCCUUUUGGCCCGGGGUUUACACAGUGGUUAAAUGGGCGGUGAAAGGGGGAGGAAAAGGGGGGAGGGGGGGUAAAUCUAAAAAACCGGUCUCA
This 221-nucleotide ribosomal RNA is filed under the name uncultured bacterium. Its description in RNAcentral is "partial 16S ribosomal RNA". It matches the Rfam family "Bacterial small subunit ribosomal RNA", at positions 1068 to 1290 of the family's 1533-position model. The record is from RNAcentral.